RNAcentral lists this unclassified non-coding RNA (20 nucleotides) under Chlamydomonas reinhardtii. Its description in RNAcentral is "small RNA Cre_1614". The record is from RNAcentral. Lineage: Eukaryota; Viridiplantae; Chlorophyta; Chlorophyceae; Chlamydomonadales; Chlamydomonadaceae.
GAGGGCCCAGCAGCGGCGUU